UACGUAGGGUGCAAGCGUUGUCCGGAAUUAUUGGGCGGAAAGAGCUCGUAGGCGGCUUGUCACGUCGGGUGUGAAAGCCCGGGGCUUAACCCCGGGUCUGCAUUCGAUACGGGCUAGCUAGAGUGUGGUAGGGGAGAUCGGAAUUCCUGGUGUAGCGGUGAAAUGCGCAGAUAUCAGGAGGAACACCGGUGGCGAAGGCGGAUCUCUGGGCCAUUACUGACGCUGAGGAGCGAAAGCGUGGGGAGCGAACAGG
This 253-nucleotide ribosomal RNA is filed under the name uncultured bacterium. RNAcentral's name for it is "partial 16S ribosomal RNA". It matches the Rfam family "Bacterial small subunit ribosomal RNA", at positions 524 to 776 of the family's 1533-position model. The record is from RNAcentral.